GACGAACGCUGGCGGCGUGCUUAACACAUGCAAGUCGAACGGUGAAGCGCCUUCCUUUUUGGUGGGUGUGGAUGAGUGGCGAACGGGUGAGUAACACGUGAGUAACCUGCCCCCUUCUUCUGGAUAACCGCAUGAAAGUGUGGCUAAUACGGGAUAUUCUGGGUCUGUCGCAUGAUGGGUCUGGGAAAGAUAUUGUUUCGGUGGGGGAUGGGCUCACGGCCUAUCAGCUUGUUGGUGGGGUGAUGGCCUACCAAGGCGGUGACGGGUAGCCGGCCUGAGAGGGUGGACGGUCACACUGGGACUGAGACACGGCCCAGACUCCUACGGGAGGCAGCAGGGGGGAAUAUUGCACAAUGGGCGCAAGCCUGAUGCAGCGACGCCGCGUGAGGGAUGGAGGCCUUCGGGUUGUGAACCUCUUUCGCCAGUGAAGCAGGCCUGCCUCGUUUGUGGGUGGGUUGACGGUAGCUGGAUAAGAAGCGCCGGCUAACUACGUG
This 494-nucleotide ribosomal RNA is filed under the name uncultured bacterium. RNAcentral describes it as "partial 16S ribosomal RNA". It matches the Rfam family "Bacterial small subunit ribosomal RNA", at positions 28 to 507 of the family's 1533-position model. The record is from RNAcentral.